Molecule: ribosomal RNA, 1448 nt
Filed under: uncultured Fibrobacterota bacterium
Lineage: Bacteria; Pseudomonadati; Fibrobacterota
Description: bacterial SSU rRNA
Rfam family: Bacterial small subunit ribosomal RNA
Source: RNAcentral
AACGAACGCUGGUGGCGUGUUUUAUACAUGCAAGUCGAGCGAGGCGCUGUAGCAAUACAGUAGUCGAGCGGCGAACGGGUGAGUAACACGUGAACAAUCUGCCCCUCAAUUGGGAACAACCGGGCCAACGCCCGGCUAAUGCCGAAUAUAGUGUAGAGUCGCCUGACUUUAUGACGAAAGAUUUAUCGUUGAGGGAUGAGUUCGCGUCCGAUUAGCUAGUAGGCGGGGUAACGGCCCACCUAGGCGACGAUCGGUAGCCGGCCUGAGAGGGUGAUCGGCCACAUUGGGACUGAGAUACGGCCCAGACUCCUACGGGAGGCAGCAGUAGGGAAUAUUGCGCAAUGGGGGCAACCCUGACGCAGCAACGCCACGUGUGGGAAGACGCAUUUCGGUGUGUAAACCACUGUCGAGAGGGAAUAACGGGUAUUUUCGGAUACCGUGAAUGUACCUCUAAAGGAAGCACCGGCAAACUUCGUGCCAGCAGCCGCGGUAAUACGAGGGGUGCAAGCGUUGUUCGGAAUCACUGGGCGUAAAGGGAGCGUAGGCGGACCUACAAGCAUUCCGUAUAAUUCCGGGGCCUAACCCCGGCACUGCGGAUUGGACUGUAGGUCUUGGAUAAUUCAGAGGCAAGCGGAAUUCCUGGUGUAGCGGUGGAAUGCGUAGAGAUCAGGAAGAACACCGAUGGCGAAGGCAGCUUGCUGGAGAUUAAUCGACGCUGAGGCUCGAAAGCGCGGGUAGCAAACAGGAUUAGAUACCCUGGUAGUCCGCGCUGUAAACGAUGCAUACUGGGUGUUCGGAUAUUAUUCGAGUACCGCAGCUAACGCGUUAAGUAUGCCGCCUGGGGAGUACGUACGCAAGUAUGAAACUCAAAGGAAUUGACGGGGACCCGCACAAGCGGUGGAGCAUGCGGUUUAAUUCGAAGCAACGCGAAGAACCUUACCAGGUCUUGACAUCCAAGUGACCAGCAGAGUAACGUCUGCCUUCCUUCGGGACACUUGAGACAGGUGGUGCAUGGUUGUCGUCAGCUCGUGUCGUGAGAUGUUGGGUUAAGUCCCGCAACGAGCGCAACCCCUGUUCUUAGUAGCCAGCGGUUCGGCCGGGCACUCUAGGGAGACUGCCAGGGAUAACCUGGAGGAAAGCGGGGAUGACGUCAAAUCAUCAUGCCCCUUAUGAUCUGGGCUACACACGUGCUACAAUGGCCACUACAAAGAGAGACGAAGUCGUAAGGCGGAGUAGAUCUGAAAAAAGUGGUCUCAGUUCGGAUUGAGGGCUGCAACCCGCCCUCAUGAAGUCGGAGUUGCUAGUAAUCGCGAAUCAGCAUGUCGCGGUGAAUACGUUCCCGGGCCUUGUACACACCGCCCGUCACACCAUGGGAGUUGGGAGCGCCCGAAGUCGGUGAGGUAACCGCAAGGAGCCAGCCGCCGAAGGUGAGAUCAAUGACUGGGGUG